AUAUUGGUCAAUGGGCUUACGCCUGAACCAGCCAAGUCGCGUGAGGGAAGACUGCCCUAUGGGUUGUAAACCUCUUUUGUCAGGGAGCAACGCCGGCUACGUGUAGCCGGACUGAGAGUACCUGAAGAAAAAGCAUCGGCUAACUCCGUGCCAGCAGCCGCGGUAAUACGGAGGAUGCGAGCGUUAUCCGGACUUAUUGGGUUUAAAGGGUGCGUAGGCGGGCUUUUAAGUCAGCGGUAAAAAUUCGGGGCUCAACCCCGUCCGGCCGUUGAAACUGGGGGCCUUGAGUGGGCGAGAAGAAGGCGGAAUGCGUGGUGUAGCGGUGAAAUGCAUAGAUAUCACGCAGAACCCCGAUUGCGAAGGCAGCCUUCCGGCGCCCUACUGACGCUGAGGCACGAAAGUGCGGGGAUCG
RNAcentral lists this ribosomal RNA (412 nucleotides) under uncultured bacterium. RNAcentral describes it as "bacterial SSU rRNA". It matches the Rfam family "Bacterial small subunit ribosomal RNA", at positions 361 to 770 of the family's 1533-position model. The record is from RNAcentral.